RNAcentral lists this ribosomal RNA (464 nucleotides) under uncultured Rhodocyclaceae bacterium. RNAcentral describes it as "partial 16S ribosomal RNA". It matches the Rfam family "Bacterial small subunit ribosomal RNA", at positions 338 to 794 of the family's 1533-position model. Lineage: Bacteria; Pseudomonadati; Pseudomonadota; Betaproteobacteria; Rhodocyclales; Rhodocyclaceae. The record is from RNAcentral.
CCUACGGGAGGCAGCAGUGGGGAAUUUUGGACAAUGGGGGCAACCCUGAUCCAGCCAUGCCGCGUGAGUGAAGAAGGCCUUCGGGUUGUAAAGCUCUUUCGGACGGAAAGAAAUUGCCAUCUCUAACAUAGGUGGUGGAUGACGGUACCGUAAGAAGAAGCACCGGCUAACUACGUGCCAGCAGCCGCGGUAAUACGUAGGGUGCGAGCGUUAAUCGGAAUUACUGGGCGUAAAGCGUGCGCAGGCGGUUUUGUAAGACAGGGGUAAAAUCCCCGGGCUUAACCGGGGAACUGCGCUUGUGACUGCAAGGCUAGAGGGCGGCAGAGGGGGGUAGAAUUCCCGGUGUAGUGGUAAAAUGCGUAGAGAUCGGGAGGACCACCCGUGGCGUAGGCGGCGUCCGGGCCGACACCUGACGCUGAAGCGCGAAAGCGGGGGGAGCGAACGGGAUUAGAUACCCCUGUAGU